AGUGAACGCUGGCGGUAGGCCUAACACAUGCAAGUCGAACGGCAGCACAGUAAGAGCUUGCUCUUACGGGUGGCGAGUGGCGGACGGGUGAGGAAUACAUCGGAAUCUACUUUUUCGUGGGGGAUAACGUAGGGAAACUUACGCUAAUACCGCAUACGACCUACGGGUGAAAGCAGCGGAUCUUCGGACCUUGCGCGAUUGAAUGAGCCGAUGUCGGAUUAGCUGGUUGGCGGGGUAAAGGCCCACCAAGGCGACGAUCCGUAGCUGGUCUGAGAGGAUGAUCAGCCACACUGGAACUGAGACACGGUCCAGACUCCUACGGGAGGCAGCAGUGGGGAAUAUUGGACAAUGGGCGCAAGCCUGAUCCAGCCAUGCCGCGUGGGUGAAGAAGGCCUUCGGGUUGUAAAGCCCUUUUGUUGGGAAAGAAAAGCAGCAGGUUAAUACCCCGCUGUUCUGACGGUACCCAAAGAAUAAGCACCGGCUAACUUCGUG
RNAcentral lists this ribosomal RNA (492 nucleotides) under uncultured bacterium. RNAcentral's name for it is "partial 16S ribosomal RNA". It matches the Rfam family "Bacterial small subunit ribosomal RNA", at positions 29 to 507 of the family's 1533-position model. The record is from RNAcentral.